GGGGGAUAAAUUAAUAAAGUAUAAAUAAUAAAAAAAUUUUUAAUAUUAAAUAAUUUUAAUGGGGGUUAAAGUAUAUUUAAUAGAAAAAAUAAAAAAAUUUAUAGAAAAUUAGUAUUGUAAAAGAAAUUUGAAAUAUGUUGAAAAUAAAUUUAUAUGAAAGUAAAUUUAAUUUAUUGUAUCUUGUGUAUCAGAGUUUAUUAAUAAUUAUUUUUAUAUAAAAAUUUUCUCGAAUUUAAAAGAGAUAAUUAAUUAUUAAAGUUAAUGUUAUAUAAUUAUUUUAAAUAAUUAAUUUGAAAUGAAAUGUUAAUCGUUUUUGAAUAUAUCUAGUUUUUUUAGAAAAAAAUUUAAUUUUAAAUUUUAAAAAAAUAUAAUUUUAAUUAAUUAAAAUUAUAUUUUUAAAAUUAAAUAUUUUAAGGGAUAAGCUUUAAAAUAAAUUUUUAUAAUGAAUUUUAAUAGUAAUAAUUGAAAUUUUUAAAAUUUAUAUUGUUUAAAAAUUAUAAUUUUUUAUAAAUAAUUUCAAUUUAUUUAAAAUUUAAAAUUUAUUUAAUUUUUUAUUAAAAAAUAUUUUUUAAUAAUUUAAAUUUAGAUAUAAUGAUAAAAUUAGUAUAUAAUUUUAAAUAAAAAUAAUUUAUUGUUUAAUAAUUUAAAAAAAGGAAUUCGGCAAAAAUUUAUAUUCACUUGUUUAUCAAAAACAUGUCUUUUUGGUUAAUAAUUUAAAGUCUAAUCUGCCCACUGAUAAUAUAUUAAAGGGCUGCAGUAUUUUGACUGUACAAAGGUAGCAUAAUCAAUAGUCUCUUAAUUGGUGACUUGUAUGAAGGAUUUAAUGAGAUAUAUACUGUCUCUUUUUAAUUUAUAAAAUUUAAUUUUUUAGUUAAAAAGCUAAAAUAAAUUUAAAAGACGAGAAGACCCUAUAGAGUUUAAUAUUUAAUUAAAUUGGAAUUAUUUAUAAAAUUUAAAGUUUUAAUUUAUAAUAAAUAUUUUGUUGGGGUGAUAAAAAAAUUAAAAGAACUUUUUUUAUAGAUUUACAUUGAUAAGUGAAUAAAUGAUCCGUAAUUUACGAUUAAAAGAAAAAAUUACCUUAGGGAUAACAGCGUAAUUUUUUUUUUUAGUUCAAAUAAGAAAAAAAGUUUGCGACCUCGAUGUUGGAUUAAGAUAAAAUUUAAAUGCAAAAGUUUAAAAUUUUUGAUCUGUUCGAUCAUUAAAAUCUUACAUGAUCUGAGUUCAAACCGGUGUAAGCCAGGUUGGUUUCUAUCUUUAAAUUAAUAAAAUAUUUUAGUACGAAAGGAUUAAAUAUUUAAAAUAAUUUUAUAUAAAAAGAAUUUUAAUAAUAGUUUAAUAUAUUUAAAUAUUA
RNAcentral lists this ribosomal RNA (1351 nucleotides) under Parnassius delphius. Its description in RNAcentral is "16S ribosomal RNA". The stretch from base 1084 to 1243 matches the Rfam family "Eukaryotic large subunit ribosomal RNA", at positions 2825 to 2984 of the family's 3401-position model. The record is from RNAcentral. Lineage: Eukaryota; Metazoa; Arthropoda; Insecta; Lepidoptera; Papilionidae.